UACGGAGGGUGCGAGCGUUAAUCGGAAUAACUGGGCGUAAAGGGUACGCAGGCGGGUUUUUAAGUGAGAUGUGAAAUCCCCGGGCUUAACCAGGGAAUAGCACUUCAGACUGGGAGUCUAGAGUACUUUAGGGAGGGGGAGAAUUCCACGUGUAGCGGUGAAAUGCGUAGAGAUGUGGAGGAAUACCGAAGGCGAAGGCACCCCCUUGGGCAUGUACUGACGCUCAUGUGCGAAAGCGUGGGGAGCAAACAGG
Molecule: ribosomal RNA, 253 nt
Filed under: uncultured bacterium
Lineage: Bacteria
Description: partial 16S ribosomal RNA
Rfam family: Bacterial small subunit ribosomal RNA
Source: RNAcentral